This 815-nucleotide long non-coding RNA is filed under the name Rattus norvegicus (Norway rat). RNAcentral describes it as "long non-coding RNA NONRATT025532". The record is from RNAcentral. Lineage: Eukaryota; Metazoa; Chordata; Mammalia; Rodentia; Muridae.
GUAGGCAGUGCCAGCCUUCUGAUUCCCAGGGUGAGGAUGGGGUGCACCGGGCAGGGCAUUGGUCUGCCAUGCAGGGCCCUGGCUCCCAUUCCCAGCACCAUAGAUACCAUGUGUGAUGGUGCAGGCCUGUCAUCCAGCACUGGGAAUUACUUCAGAGCUGUCCUUGGCUAUAUAGGACAGUUUGGGGUACGUGAGACCCCUGACAAAAAAUAUGAACAGACACACGCACACCACACACAUCCCCACACCCAUGCAUGCACGCACAUGCACACACACACACAGCCUCUCCAAACCCAAAGUCCACAGCACACCAGGAGACUUGACGCCGAUGGCUCAGAGACACUUGCCAACACGAAAGUUGGAGUUGAAGCUUCAUGUACAUAAGAUGGCAGAGAACAGGGUGUUGCCAGUCUUUGACCCACAUGGCAGUGUGUGGCACCCCCAAACCCAUAGUGCAUACAAUGUGUCACACAACCCGGGGGACAGUCCCCACUAUGCCAUGCCUACCUAGGGCAGGUGAGACUCCACAUAGCUCAGGCUCUGCCUCAUGUCUGCCUCUUCUGACUCCCUAGUUCUCUCCAGUGUUUUCCAGAACCCUGCACAACCAUGCUGCAUCCCGCGUGGCUCCCGACGUCACCCCAGGACCCGAGGUCCCAGGACCCCACAAAGGCUCUUCUGGCGGCCUCAGUGCAGACUGGGGGAAUUUUCUAGAAAUUCCAAUGUUGGAUGACCCAACAGAAGAGUUAGACAACACCACCCUGGUGCUGGCCAACUCCACAGAGGACCUGGGACGGGCCACUCUGCUGGACUGGGUG